GAAGACUUCAAGACUCCUUGUGUUUAAGUCACAGAGUGUGUUUAGGAGUUGCGAAAUUGUAAUUUUGUAUUUUCUUUGGAUUUUUCACGCGAGAAGUUCAUUGUUUUGGUGAUGGCAAUGAAUUUCAUUUUUGUUUGGAGAGUUGAGCAUUGUGAGUAUUUUGAUGUAUUUUUGAGUUUUGUCACGAAAUUGCCAAAGGGGAAGAUUGUUAUGGAUUUUAUGUUAGUAUAUUUCGUAAAGUAUGUUGGAGUCUUGAAUGUUUAAAGAAGAAGAGAUGAAGAUUGAAGACUCGAAGACUCAAAACAUGAAGGCACAAUGCUCAGUAAGUUUAAAUACCAUUGAUGAUGAUUUAUAAAUAUUUUGUGGUGAGAUUUUAUUGUUAAAAUAAGUUUGGAAGACUUAGAUUAUGUUUUUGUUGAUCAAACUGGACUUUUCUAAAAAAU
This 443-nucleotide long non-coding RNA is filed under the name Ananas comosus (pineapple). RNAcentral's name for it is "long non-coding RNA (ACOM_LNC023354)". Lineage: Eukaryota; Viridiplantae; Streptophyta; Magnoliopsida; Poales; Bromeliaceae. The record is from RNAcentral.